Non-coding RNA from Flagelloscypha sp. PMI_526, 83 nucleotides. NCBI's taxonomy places the organism in Eukaryota, Fungi, Basidiomycota, Agaricomycetes, Agaricales, Niaceae. The record is from the annotation of a GenBank genome assembly.
CCGGGGAUAGCUCAGUUGGAAGAGCAUCAGACUGUAACGGAUAACAUAUCUGAGGGUCGCAAGUUCGAUCCUUGCUCACCGGA